UUCGUGUGAACAGUGGUUGAUCACGAGUUAGUCGGUCCUAAGUUCAAGGCGAAAGCCGAAAAUUUUCAAGUAAAUGGAAAAUUUAUAUAUAUUUGUUAAUUUUAUGCACUUGAAUAAUUUUGAACGAAAGGGAAUACGGUUCCAAUUCCGUAACCUGUUGAGUAUCCGUUUGUUAUUAAAUAUGGGCUUCGUGCUCAUCCUGGCAACAGGAACGACCAUAAAGAAGCCGUCGAGAGAUAUCGGAAGAGUUUUCUUUUCUGUUUUAUAGCCGUACUACCAUGGAAGUCUUUCGCAGAGAGAUAUGGUAGAUGGGCUAGAAGAGCAUGACAUAUACUGUUGUGUCGAUAUUUUCUCCUCGGACCUUGAAAAUUUAUGGUGGGGAUACGCAAACUUCUCAACAGGCCGUACCAAUAUCCGCAGCUGGUCUCCAAGGUGAAGAGUCUCUAGUCGAUAGAAUA
RNAcentral lists this ribosomal RNA (458 nucleotides) under Dichaetophora sp. XZ4 (Gao). RNAcentral's name for it is "partial 28S ribosomal RNA". It matches the Rfam family "Eukaryotic large subunit ribosomal RNA", at positions 1508 to 1897 of the family's 3401-position model. Lineage: Eukaryota; Metazoa; Arthropoda; Insecta; Diptera; Drosophilidae. The record is from RNAcentral.